UACAGAGGGGGCAAGCGUUGUUCGGAAUUACUGGGCGUAAAGCGUGCGCAGGCGGUUUUGUAAGCCAGAUGUGAAAUCCCCGGGCUUAACCUGGGAAUGGCAUUUGGGACUGCAAGGCUCGAGUGCGGCAGAGGAGACUGGAAUUCCUGGUGUAGCGGUGAAAUGCGCAGAUAUCAGGAGGAACACCGGUGGCGAAGGCGGGUCUCUGGGCCGAUACUGACGCUGAGGAGCGAAAGCGUGGGGAGCGAACAGG
Molecule: ribosomal RNA, 253 nt
Filed under: uncultured bacterium
Lineage: Bacteria
Description: partial 16S ribosomal RNA
Rfam family: Bacterial small subunit ribosomal RNA
Source: RNAcentral